Molecule: long non-coding RNA, 2935 nt
Organism: Papio anubis (olive baboon)
Lineage: Eukaryota; Metazoa; Chordata; Mammalia; Primates; Cercopithecidae
Source: Ensembl
GUACCUCUGCCGGUUCCUAACUGCCCCGUUAUAAGCCCCCCCCCCCCUACAAUUGGUUCUCACCUCGCCCUCGGAGCGAGGGCAGAUGAGUCUGGUCCUAGCUUCUGGACUGCCCACCGUCGGCCUCUUAAGAGUUGGGGACGGUGGGGCAUUGUGACGCUCUCCAAACCUUGGAACGCGGUGGCAAAGUGGCCGAUCAAUAUAUGGGACAGGUGGGGGCGGGGGACGGACUCUAAGGUGGAAAGAACAAUACUACUUGGGAUUUAAGGGAACAAUCUGGAUUGUGUCUCCCCUUGGUUUUUUGGAGCUUAGAGGUAUAACGGCGACAAUCCUCCUACAAUAAGGGCUCUUCUGGGUCCCUCGUUUCCAAAGGCAUGAAAGUUCUGACCUGAAAAUGGGGGCAGCGGGUGGGUGUCACAACCAUAUAAGGCAGCUCCUUCACCCGACUCCCACCCGCAAGACCUGAGACCUGACGGAUUAAAGCAGAGAGGAGUCAGAGUGAGCGCCGCGUUGAGGAAACUGCAUUCCAGGGCAGUAAGACUGGUGCCAAGAUGCAGUCGCGGCAAAAGCAUCCGGAGGUCUUCCAUAGUAUCUGUCAGCAGUGGACUGGUGUGCUUAAGGAGAGAGAGAUUUGGAAAAUACAGACAGAGAACAAGGCCAUGUGGAGACAGAGGCAGAGACUGAAGUUGUGCCACCAAAGGCAAAGAAUAUCAAGUAUCGUCAGUAACCCCAGGAAGCUGGAAGAGGCCAGGAAAGAUUUUUCUUAGAGACCUUGGAAGGAGCCUGACCCUGGAACACCCUGAAUUUAGACUUCUGGUCCCCCCAAACUGUAAAAGAAUAAAUUUCUGUCAUUUUAAGCAAUUUGGUUUGCAGUAAUUCAUUACAGCAGCCCUAGGAAAAGUAAUACAUAUCAAUAACAUUUAUUAUUUCCAUUUCGCUGACUUUUUCAAGUUCUGUGCUUAUAAAUUCGUCAUAGUGAAGUAAGCUUUAAAUAAAACUUUGAAAGUAUAUUCAAAUUCUGUUGCUAGAGUUAGCACAAUACGGAAAGGAAUAUAAUUUUUAAAAAUAAAAUUUAAUAAUAUAAAUUAUGACACGUCUAAACUUUUAUUUUGGAGAUUUUAUAAUAAAAAGUUUAUAUUUGUUAAAAUUCAUUUAAAUUAAUAAUAUAAAGCCCUUGGAAUAUGCUAUAAAUCAAAGAUAAGUUACAUUUACUACAGCAUAAUAAGCCAUCAUUCACUGAAUCAGUGAUUUAGCAAACAUUAAUUCAAUGUCUGCCAUGCACUAGGCACUGUACUAGAUCUAAGAGCUAAAACUCCUUCUGGCACUUAUAGACCAAGUAAAAAUUAGCAAGGAGAUACAUUAUUUGGUAAAGAUUAUACUGACUGAAUCAUCGAGCUCUGUUUUUUAAAUAGUUUCAACUUUUAUUUUAGAUCUCUGAGGUACAUGUAUAGGUUUGUUAAAGAGAUAGAUUUUGUGAUGCUGACGUUCAGGAUGCAAAUGAUCCUGUUGCCCAGAUAGCGAGCAUAGUUACCAAAAGUUAGUUUUUCAACCUUUGCCUCCAUCCUUCCCGCCCCCCUCUAUUAGUCCCCAGUGUCUGUUUUUGCCAUCUUUAUGUCCGUGAGCACCCAAAGUUUAGUUCUCACAUAUAAGUAAGAAUAUGCAGUAUUUGGUUUUCUGUUCCUGAAUUAAUUUUCUUAGAAUAAUGGCCUCUAGCUGCAUCUGUGUUACAAAGAACAUGAUUUUGUUCAUUUUUAUGGCUGCCUAGUAUUUCAAUGGUGUAUACGUACUAUAUUUUCCUUAUCCAAUCCACUGUUGACAGGCGCCUACAUUAAUUCCAUAUCUUGGUUAUUGUGAAUCAAGGAGUUCUUUUCAUUUCUGAGAUUUUUAUUAUUUCACAAGAUUAGAGAAGACUUCAAUUUGUAAAUUAAAUGAUUAUUAAACAUUAUUUUCAGAAGGACUUAUUUACAAAAUAGCUUCAUUAAGGAGAGGCUAAUGAGAAAAACAUAUGAAGAGAAAGACCAAACAAACAAGAAAAAAACAAAAAAAAAAAAAACACUGUUGAGGCUCCAAUGAGAGCAACAAAACAGACAGAAAGGAACAUACUUUUUGAAGCAUGUCCCUGAAACAGUGUAUACUUAUAAUAUAAGGAUAAAAUGUAUUUACCUUGCCUGGCAAGUGAUGUAUCAGCUCACAUAUAAAUCCAAAACAAAUUGGACUGAGCAUUUCUGCAGGGUAUAGCAUCAUCAUGGGACAUUUGUUCUAUUGGCUCCAACAACUAUCCUAGCCAAAGAUAAGUCAGAAAUACCAGCAUUGCCAUAUGCUCACCUUUAAAAUACCUUCAGGAAAUUGAAGAAAAUACAUAGUUCUCUACCCUCUGUGGAUAGCUUUAUAAUUACUUUAACUACUAGACCUGCUCUAUGAAAUCACAGCUUAAAAUAAAAUAAACCUAUAUCACAGCAAAAACGGGCUAAUUGUUCAAUUUGGGGGAGUGGCAGAUGAGGGAAAACAUUGUGAUGAGUGGCCAAAACAUGUUUUCUGAGUACCUGCCUUCUCUCUGGAUCAGAUAACCACCUGGUUUUAAACCAUACAAAGUGGAUCAAGUCUGUAAACAAUUCAAUCAUUUCAAACAUUAAAAUUGUCAAUAUCACUAACACUUUUUGCUUAAAGUUACCUUUGUGACCAAGUAAGAUCAAUGUCUCACCAACCUCAUCAAUUACCACCUUGCCAAUUGCUAAGACAGUCGGAAGACUAUCACUUUUAAAAUCAACUUUAAAAUACUACAAAUAAUAACAAAGUUAAGAUCUGUCCUGAAUAAGUGUCUAGGGACAGUAAAUCCAUAUUUUAAUCAAGUGACACUUUUCUAAGGGACCAUGUAUGAUUAUUUAGGUAAACCUAGUCUCAACUAAAUGUUUCCAAAGUAAAUUUUACACUUGAG